UCUUCCAUUUUUCCCUCUCGCUUUCCCCUCUUUCUCCAUUCCAUCUCUGCUUCUUUGUUUGAAUCUCAAAUCUCAUCAGUUGUUUAUCACUCAAAAGUGUGUGCUCUUCGUGUUGGUAAAUGUUUUCCGAAAUCUUUUUGUAAUUAGUGCACUUUCUUUAGUUGAAAUCUGCAUUUAUACUUUUGGAUUGUUUCUGAUUGGAUUUUCUACAUGUAUAUCAAUACUUUUUCUGAUUUACUCAGGCAUGUGUAGCUUUAGACACCCAGGUGCAAGAUUCUGAUAAGUACUGCAAAUUUUGUCUCAAUAUCCCUUUUAUAAAUCUAUUUUUUUUGUGUGCUGUUAAAAUCUAUAUUGAUUAGAUGUCUCUCUUUUUUCACUUCUAACAAAGUGCACAAAGAUGUAUUCUACCGCUGGAGCAGCUAACUCAAUUUAAGUGAGGCACCUAAGGUAUUUGAUAAUGAGCUUGAAGCAACUUAAUUUUUUAGUUGCUUUUUUUUCACAGAUUAUCUACAACAUACUCCUCUGUUAGUGAACAAUCCAAAAGCUACAUCACUUAUUUCUACAUGGUUGUUGUUUAUAUUCGUUUUCAAGAAAUACAUUUGAAACAUUUAUCAUUUGUUUGCAUCUAUUUCAAUUGCAGAUUGCUACUGUUAGUGUAACUUAGUGUUUUCAAGAAAAUUUAGAUAUACUGUAUAGGUUAAACCAAAUUGGAAAUAUUACUUUAACAAAAGCAAGAACUAUAGGAAUAAGAAUGUCGACGAACAAUGACAUCGCAUUGCAUAGACUUCAAAAGACUAAGGAUAUUGACUCGCUAAUAGAAAUAUGUGAUGUAGUGAUAUGCACAAAUGUUUCCCAAGAGAAAACAAUUCUUGACAGAUGCUCUACAACUUGAAGUUGAUUAUUUCACUUUGCCGAAUUUGAUUUUAUUAGUUUAAUUAAUUGAGUUGAAAUUGAGAGGCUCCUAUUUUUUUAUUUUUAUUUUUUGUUAGUUUAGUUGAUUGAUGAGUGCAGGUAGGGUGGGGUUUUUGGCUUACAUAUCAUAUCAUAUCAUUGUGUAGCAUUUGGUUUCAGUGCUGGUGAGGAACUCACAAGAAUGUGAGAUUUAUGCUUAUGUGAGCUCAUCAGACUUAGCUAUGAAGAUUGAAGCUUAAAGGAUCGUCGUCCUUUAGAUUUCCAGUUUCUUUUUCUGAAGAAUUCCACAGCCAACUCCCCAAGGAGCUCAAGGGGAACCCUGCUAUUAUCAUUACUGGUCAACUGUUUUGAAUCUUCUGAUUAAGAGAUCAAGUGGGAGAAAUCUGAAUUCUGUGAGUUCAAUUUCAAUGUUGAUGUAUGUUCUAAAGGUAAUCUUGGUGAAGCUAGAGGAGGAAGCAUUCUCAGGGACUGGAAAAAAGAAUUGGUAGUAGCAUUUUCUGAGUGUUAUGGGAUUUUCUCUAACAAUGUUUUGAGAAGGAUUUUCUCUAACAAUGUUACAGACUAAAGUCAUAUUAUUAGGCUUAUGCUGUGAAUUCAAAAUCACUAUAGCUAUGUUAACAUAGAAACUUAUAUGGCAACAGAAGAGUAUUAUCCAUUAUAUUAGAAGCCUGAUGACUCAAUGGUAAUUUGUUAGAGGCCACUGUUUUAGGAGGCUAAUAUGGUAGCAAAUAAGCUGGCUAACUUGGGUGUUCAUAACAAGUCGAAAACUUUUUUCUAAUGGAACAGUAUCUUGCCUAAAGGUACUAGAAUUACAUUGAAAAAUGAUAUAUUGGACAUACCAUUUUUUAGAACUUGACCCAACAAAAAAUCUGUAGCUUGGAUAAUGGUUAAAAUAUUGAUGUUGUGAACAUAUUUUUGAGAGUUCUAUACUUAUGUUGUAAAGGAGGAGUAGAUUCUUCUAAUUAUCAGUGUUGCUUCUAGAUGGUACUCUCUCCUCAAUUUUUGACUGCAUAUUCUAGAUUCAAGAUAACUUUACCACAUUCCAUUUUUAGUGCUCUGACUUGAGAAACUCAAUUUGGGUCAAUAUGUCUUGAAUUUUGAACUAGUCCAAGUUCUGUAUGGACUUAAUCCCAUAAAAUUUUGCAUGUCUACAUUUCUUUUAUCUCGUCUGUAUGACAAGUAUAAAAAUCAAGAUGAACUACAUGCUUUAGGAUUGAAAUUGCCAUGCCUUCUUUUCUGCACCCCUACCUCCCCCCUCCCCCCACACAAACUCCUUCUCGGAUAACUUUUUUUGACUUUUUAUUUUUUAUUUAUGUCCAUGGAAAUUGUUGAAUCU
This is a long non-coding RNA of Lycium barbarum (goji berry), 2248 nucleotides long. RefSeq lists it as uncharacterized. The record is from RefSeq and is a predicted model, not a curated record. The transcript is spliced from 3 exons. NCBI's taxonomy places the organism in Eukaryota, Viridiplantae, Streptophyta, Magnoliopsida, Solanales, Solanaceae.